GUCUGCUCACCCAUGUCCUUUAGCACAAAGGGGACAUGAACUCAUGUCUGGUGGAUGAACCAUGACCGUGGGAUCAGAGCGUGAUUGAUGGCUGAUUCGUUCUUCGGAAUUGUUCAUGGCUGUAGAGGAUCGUUCUCGGUUGGGAUUUCCUAGCUGGGGUGGUCCCACGGUUGUUUGACAGACU
RNAcentral lists this small nucleolar RNA (184 nucleotides) under Manihot esculenta (cassava). RNAcentral's name for it is "Plant small nucleolar RNA U3". It matches the Rfam family "Plant small nucleolar RNA U3". From Rfam's summary of the family: Small nucleolar RNAs (snoRNAs) are involved in the processing and modification of rRNA in the nucleolus. There are two main classes of snoRNAs: the box C/D class, and the box H/ACA class. U3 snoRNA is a member of the box C/D class. The record is from Rfam by way of RNAcentral. Lineage: Eukaryota; Viridiplantae; Streptophyta; Magnoliopsida; Malpighiales; Euphorbiaceae.